CCCAGUCUCCCAAACUGGAG
RNAcentral lists this transfer RNA (20 nucleotides) under Micrococcus luteus. RNAcentral describes it as "tRNA-Ala". The record is from RNAcentral. Lineage: Bacteria; Bacillati; Actinomycetota; Actinomycetes; Micrococcales; Micrococcaceae.